GACAUUAUGCCAGAAAAAUGGGUUACUUUGAUGAAGUAAAAUAUGGGUCUAUUCUCUGAUGUUU
This is a non-coding RNA of Mercenaria mercenaria, 64 nucleotides long. The record is from the annotation of a RefSeq genome assembly. NCBI's taxonomy places the organism in Eukaryota, Metazoa, Mollusca, Bivalvia, Venerida, Veneridae.